CAGGCAUCUUUUUUUGGAAACACACCAUUUGGUGAAAGUGUGGACGGCUUUUGUUUGCCUGUGCGCUCCAUACAGCCUUCUUCACUCCCGUUGGACUGCAAUUAAGCUGGUUGGAGUGAUGUGAUGCCAGAGGCCUUAGUACGAGCUACUUCACACAGCUUACUGAACUCAACCCACUGAGCUGCUCACACACUGGAAGAGGACUGCGCACAUGAAAGCAGAGACUGAACCUAAACAUUUCAACAUGGGAGCUCGCCCUUCUGCCGUCAUGUUUUCUACCUAGCUGGACUUUGCUUCAGCGAGUAAGAGCAGCUGUCUCUCAGCAGGGUCAGCAGACAGUGUGAAACACAGCACAAUGGUUUAGGCUCACAUCGAUGAAGCUCUGAGUCUGUGCCUCUCGGUUUGAGCUCAAGGAAAUGCCAGCUGGAUGCUGCCUGGAUUUUGAAUAAACAAUCGGCCGCUUGUCCUGUUGACCUCAUGUUCUAAAGCACAGACAGAAAACAACGCUGGCAAGAAGAAACAUUGUACUGUUGCAGAGAAACUAAAUGCAGAUUAUUCAAAGUUUUAUGAAUACGUGUUACUUAAUUUGCAUCCCACGUCUCGAGGUCUCGAUGCAUCGAGUUCCUGAGUUUUUUGUUUGUUUUUUCUUAGCUUUUUUUUUUUUUUGUGAACAAGCACAUAAACAGUCAUCUCUAAUAAAGUGGCUACUGAGUGUAUAUAUCAUACUUUCAAAACCAGGACAGAGGCUUUCAGUCUAAAAAAACGAUUUUAACAAAUCCCCCAAUGUUCCAGAUGAGAGUGAAUGAACUAAAUGUCCAGCUGACAUUGUCUUAGCCAGGCUUCAUUGACUAUCUAAUGUAAUUCUGUUCUCAAAUUGCCAUAAAUACAAUAACUGCCUGCCUAAGCUAUUUUAAGCAUGUGGGGGGAAAAGCAUGUAAAAUCAAAGUAUCUACCUCCUGUAGUGAUUUAGAAGCUUGUCUAGCUCACGUCACUCACUUGCUGUCGUUGAAUAUUUUGGUGCACAAUUCUGAUGCAUCGCAUCACUACAACUGCGAAGGUUUAUUUGCACACUCACUGAGGAAUUGGAAAGCUGCCACAUCUACUAUUUGUUCUGGUAAUUAGUCGCACCUAAAGCAACAAUGGCCUUGAUCUGCAUGAUGUCUUCAGCGAGGAGAGUGUAAACAUUAAAAACAGACAUUUGUUUUCCUUAAAUGAUAAAAAAAAAUUUCACUUUUUUCUAGAUGCAACCAAUAAUCUUACUGUCAACUAAGGAGACACAAAAUGCAUAUAUUUAUAGAGAUUAAACUACAGUUAUGCAGCCAAUAAAACAAUGUUUUAUUUAUAAUGCACAAUCUCCACUGUUUGUUUAACAGACUGAGCUACAGUUCGACCCUUAAGGCUGCAGAUGAUGAGCUCUAACAGUCUGUCAGCGACCUUUCUUAGCUUUCUUCCUGAUCAAAGUCUUCACUCAGCAUCACCCGCAGGUCCCAACCCUCAGUCCUUCACACUCAAUGCGCUGAAGGACAAAGGCUGGAGGAGGACGUACAGAGGAAGGAGAAAAUGCACAAUGAGAAAGGUCGGCUCAGCUCAUCCGAUACAGAAACGCGAAGGAGGCGGGUAGAGGACAAAAGACUGGGUGGAAACGAUCUGAAGACUCAUGAAGAGGAGGAGGAAGAAGAAGGGGAGGAGGAGGGAGGCUGAGACUGAAGGGGAACCUCAUCGGACAGGCGAAGCAGCUUCAAUUAAGAUUGGUCAACAGAUAAAAAGCUUCACAUGUUUGUGUGGGAGAGUGUGACGACCUCAAUCAUUGUGGAUGUUUAAAAGCCCAGACGAACGUCAGCAUGCAUGUGUUACAAUUACUGUGCAUAACCUGAGAGCAUCCGUACCGAAGUAAGGAAAGUGCAUGAAGAGUUUGAGCUUUUUAUUUUGUUAGCCAUUUUUGCUUCCAGUCACUGUUUAGUUCCAGAUGUUGCUUUACCAUCUAAGAAGACUCCAGGGAGCAGUUUGGAGUUCCAGACAGACAGCUCUCAGAGGUUAUAUUCUCCAUUCUUCAAGGCUCACUGCUCACAGCGAGGGAUCUGUUCUCACCGCCCACCAGUCUGGGACCUUGAAGACCUGUAACGAUGGGCUGCUAGCAUGGCUUUAUCCUCUUAGACUGAGUGAAAGCGGAUAGGAUACGAGACACAAAUCUGCCUUAAGAAUUUCAUUGGAGAUUUUCAAUGUUUUUCCUUGUGUGGAUAAAUAAAAGAUGUAAUUCCUUUCUGACCUGUGGUGGGCCACAACUAAACAGCUUGUGUGUUUUAAUGUUUCCAUUAAAGUCUCUGCUGUGUGGUUUUUACUAUGAAAUAAUUAUCAGUGUUAAAUAUAAAUAAAUUGCAUUUAAAACAAGCUAACCAUUCUGUGGUGGAAACGGCACAGCAAGCAAAUACAACAAUUUUACCUGCUUUAAAUUCAGAUGUUGCCGCAGAGUAGCUACACAGUCCGGGUUAACAGAAUUAGCAUUGCAUCCUUAACAGACUAGUGGUGUGCCAGCAGCCAAGUGCAACUGUUGCAGAGCAGAGCAGCAGUAAAUGUAAAUGCUGUUACCCUGCAGAGUCCCAGAGCCCUGUGUUCCUAGCAGGCUUUAGGGGAGGACGGAGCUGUCUGAAACAAGGCUUAACCGUUAGUUCUGCUGGUGUCCCAUUGCUAUUCUCGCUCUUUACAAGUAUCUUUCUAGCAGGAGCACCUUUCGGUCAUUCUUUGCACCCUUUCCCACUGGUGGGAUUUCUAUCUGUGAAGACUGAGUAGCUUUUGUUAGAAAAAUACUUACAAAACCUCACGUAUGUUAGUAACUCUGUGGCACUUUUUGAUAUUUUUAUUACUAAAUUAUUAAACAGAACAGAUUCUUUUGUGCUUACAGUAUUUUAGCAUAACUUCCUGUUAUGAUCCUGGUUUGAUUAUGUUUUUCCCUGUGCUACUGUCAGUGUUUCAUUCUUCUCAAAUUCAGAGCUCAAUGGUCUGUGAUGAAACAUGUUUACUGAUAAACACUACGCAGUACUGUGAGCCACGAAUUUAAUCAGAAAUGAACCGAUUAAAGGGCCACACCAUAGUCCCCAGAAGAGUCAGGAGUUCUAAUAAAUAGCUUAUACGUAACACUUUAAUUUUGCGUUAAGUGUUACAAUGAUGUUGGAUAUCGAAAUCAGGACUGCUCAGAGACUUUCUGGUUGAAUUUCAACUUGUGGUCACAUUUUUUUUUUAGUUCUGAAAGGAAACUCACAAGAUCCUCAUAGAACAUGACUUAACAUGUAAUGUUGUGUCACUAAAACGGCUUUAUCUGGCACUUAUUUAUGUCCUUACGACAGACAAAAUAAAACGUUUCUAUAAUUUUUUGGAAAUGUUUUCUUCUCUUUGGCCUGAAGAGACUUUGUAAGCACUCCUCAAGGUUGGAAU
Molecule: long non-coding RNA, 3429 nt
Organism: Xiphophorus couchianus (Monterrey platyfish)
Lineage: Eukaryota; Metazoa; Chordata; Actinopteri; Cyprinodontiformes; Poeciliidae
Exons: 8
Source: RefSeq, a predicted model, not a curated record